AAUGCUGUUGCUGUUGUUUAGGGGUUUGUGAGUUGUUUGACAUGAGGUCUUAGGUUGGCCUGAGUUGGAUCUGAUCAUCAUCCUGGGCCCUCCAGAGCCUCCUGUGGCAGGAGGGGACUCACACCACUUUCUGGAUGCCCGAGGCUGUGUACGUCAGGCCUUGCAGCUGAACGAUGGCAUCCACCAGGCUCUGAGGGUUCAGGCUGCUCUUGAAUUCCGUGAAGGUUCCAGGGCUGGAACUCAGGUCCUCAGGCAGUGCGGCAAGUGCCUUUACCCACUGAGCCAUCUCACCAGUGGCCCUCUGUUAUUCCUAAUUGGCCUUUUCUCUUGGAAUAAUUUUGGAUUUAUAAUUCAUUCCCCGUGUAGUUUAAGAUAAAGAUAUCAGUGAUUAUAUAGAAAACACAACACGGAAAACUUCACUCACUUGUUUGAAUUGUCUAUAGUGAGGUUUCAGAGUUAAAUUGUUUUUAAAAUC
This 475-nucleotide long non-coding RNA is filed under the name Mus pahari (shrew mouse). RNAcentral describes it as "lncRNA (MGP_PahariEiJ_G0002216.1)". The record is from RNAcentral. Lineage: Eukaryota; Metazoa; Chordata; Mammalia; Rodentia; Muridae.